UGGGGAUUUAAUGUUAGCAUUUUAAUAUUAUGCUGUACUUUUGUACCUAUACCUUUUCGCUGUGUUUUCAUCCGAUCAUGCAAAAUCUAAGAAGAUGCUGUUCCACAGAAGUGAGUUGAGCUUAUGAUAGCUGAAAUGCAGGAAGCAUUCUCUAUAAGUCACAGUCGGAUUGUGAAGUUUCAACAACAUAUAAAGAUGGAGGAGAUUGAAUCAUCUCUAUGGUUGUCAUGCUCUCGAUUCAAGAUCAUGAUCCAGAAAUUAUGGCAAUUAUCGUAUAUUCA
RNAcentral lists this long non-coding RNA (281 nucleotides) under Elaeis guineensis (African oil palm). RNAcentral's name for it is "long non-coding RNA (EGUI_LNC042651)". The record is from RNAcentral. Lineage: Eukaryota; Viridiplantae; Streptophyta; Magnoliopsida; Arecales; Arecaceae.